CAAAAACAUGUCUUUUUGAAAUUAAUUUAAAGUCUGNCCUNCCCACUGAAUUUUUAAAUGGCCGCAGUAUUUUAACUGUGCAAAGGUAGCAUAAUCAUUAGUCUUUUAAUUGAAGGCUGGUAUGAAUGGUUGGAUGAAAUAUUAACUGUCUCAAUUUAAUUAAAUAUAAAAUUUUAUUUUUUAGUCAAAAAGCUAAAAUGUAAUUAAAAGACGAGAAGACCCUAUAAAUCUUUAUAAUUAUAGGUAAAUAAAUAAAUAGAAUAUUUAAUUUAUUUAUUAUUUAAUUAUUUUAUUGGGGUGAUAUUAAAAUUUAAUAAACUUUUAAUAAAAAUAUUACAUAAAUUAAUGACUUAUUGAUCCAUAAAUUAUGAUUAAAAAAUUAAGUUACUUUAGGGAUAACAGCGUAAUUUUUUUAGAGAGUUCAUAUUGAUAAAAAAGAUUGCGACCUCGAUGUUGGAUUAAGAUAUAGAUUUAGGUGCAG
This 481-nucleotide ribosomal RNA is filed under the name Borophaga verticalis. Its description in RNAcentral is "partial 16S ribosomal RNA". The record is from RNAcentral. Lineage: Eukaryota; Metazoa; Arthropoda; Insecta; Diptera; Phoridae.